This 478-nucleotide ribosomal RNA is filed under the name uncultured bacterium. RNAcentral describes it as "partial 16S ribosomal RNA". It matches the Rfam family "Bacterial small subunit ribosomal RNA", at positions 28 to 523 of the family's 1533-position model. The record is from RNAcentral.
GACGAACGCUGGCGGCGUGCUUAACACAUGCAAGUCGAACGGAAAGGCCCUUCGGGGUACUCGAGUGGCGAACGGGUGAGUAACACGUGGGUGAUCUGCCCUGCACUUUGGGAUAAGCCUGGGAAACUGGGUCUAAUACCGAAUAGGACCACGCGCUUCAUGGUGUGUGGUGGAAAGCUUUUGCGGUGUGGGAUGGGCCCGCGGCCUAUCAGCUUGUUGGUGGGGUAAUGGCCUACCAAGGCGACGACGGGUAGCCGGCCUGAGAGGGUGACCGGCCAAACUGGGACUGAGAUACGGCCCAGACUCCUACGGGAGGCAGCAGUGGGGAAUAUUGCUCAAUGGGCGCAAGCCUGAUGCAGCGACGCCGCGUGAGGGAUGACGGCCUUCGGGUUGUAAACCUCUUUCAAUAGGGACGAAGCGCAAGUGACGGUACCUAUAGAAGAAGCACCGGCCAACUACGUGCCAGCCGCCGCAGUAA